RNAcentral lists this long non-coding RNA (422 nucleotides) under Homo sapiens (human). RNAcentral describes it as "HSALNT0372583". The record is from RNAcentral. Lineage: Eukaryota; Metazoa; Chordata; Mammalia; Primates; Hominidae.
UACAGCUAAGUGUUAGUCUAUGAAUGUAAUAUAACAGUGGUUUAAAAUCAACAGAUUGUAACAAAAGUCCCUCACAGGAGACAAAGCUGGUGCCGUGAUCUCUAUUGCAUUAAUGAGACAAAUGAGGAUAGGAAACAUCAUGUGGCUUCCCAGGGCUCCAUGGCAGGGGCGUGGCAGGGGGGAUUUGAGUCCAGGCUCCUACUCCAGUGCUGACCUUUCCCGUCACUUUCCUGCUGCCCAGUGUGAGCUCUAUCCUGUCCAGAGUCAUGAAGUAUUAGAGCACAUGGAUGUCUUAUAGAUGAUCUUGUCCAAGUCAUUCAUUUUAGAAGAGCUGAUGGAACUUCAGAGAGGUUAAAUUCACCUGUUGCAGGUCACCUAUCUCCUUAGUGACAAGUUUGAGAUUACAGCCCAACUUCAAGUCA